CCCUUAAAUGUCCUGGGCCGCACGCGCGUUACACUGAUGCACUCAACGAGCAUAUAACCUUGGCCGAGAGGCCUGGGUAAUCUUGUUAACAUGCAUCGUGAUAGGGAUAGAUUAUUGCAAUUAUUAAUCUUGAACGAGGAAUUCCUAGUAAUCGCAGAUCAUCAAUCUGCAAUGAUUACGUCCCUGCCCUUUGUACACACCGCCCGUCGCACCUACCGAUUGAAUGGUCCGGUGAGGACUCGGGAUUGUGGUUUGGCUCCUUCAUUGGGGCCUGACUGCGAGAACUUGUCCAAACCUUAUCAUUUAGAGGAAGGUGAAGUCGUAACA
RNAcentral lists this ribosomal RNA (327 nucleotides) under uncultured eukaryote. RNAcentral's name for it is "partial 18S ribosomal RNA". It matches the Rfam family "Eukaryotic small subunit ribosomal RNA", at positions 1470 to 1796 of the family's 1831-position model. The record is from RNAcentral.